This 327-nucleotide ribosomal RNA is filed under the name uncultured eukaryote. RNAcentral describes it as "partial 18S ribosomal RNA". It matches the Rfam family "Eukaryotic small subunit ribosomal RNA", at positions 1470 to 1796 of the family's 1831-position model. The record is from RNAcentral.
CCCCUAGAUGUUCUGGGCCGCACGCGCGCUACACUGAUUCAUGCAACAAGUUUUGUCCUUGGCUGAUAGGCCUGGGUAAUCUUUGAACGUGAAUCGUGAUGGGGAUAGAUGAUUGCAAUUAUUCAUCUUCAACGAGGAAUUCCUAGUAAACGCAAGUCAUCAGCUUGCAUUGAUUACGUCCCUGCCCUUUGUACACACCGCCCGUCGCACCUACCGAUUGAAUGGUCCGGUGAAAUCUUCGGAUCUGAGAGAUGUCUGAUUAAUUUCGGACGCCUUUUGGAAAAGUUGCUUAAACCUUACCAUUUAGAGGAAGGUGAANUCGUANCA